GACGAACCGUGCGACCGUUAUUCGGAAUCACUGGGCUUAAAGCGCGUGUAGGCGGGAGGGCACGUCCGUCGCUGAAAUCCCCCGGCUCAACCGGGGAACGGGCGCGGAUACGACCUUCCUGGAGGGGCGUAGGGGGACCUGGAACUUCCGGUGGAGCGGUGAAAUGCGUUGAGAUCGGAAGGAACGCCCGUGGCGAAAGCGAGGUCCUGGACGCCUACUGACGCUGAGACGCGAAAGCCAGGGGAGCGAACGGG
Molecule: ribosomal RNA, 254 nt
Filed under: uncultured bacterium
Lineage: Bacteria
Description: partial 16S ribosomal RNA
Rfam family: Bacterial small subunit ribosomal RNA
Source: RNAcentral